RNAcentral lists this ribosomal RNA (532 nucleotides) under Mediodactylus kotschyi (Kotschy's gecko). RNAcentral's name for it is "partial large subunit ribosomal RNA". It matches the Rfam family "Bacterial large subunit ribosomal RNA", at positions 1799 to 2576 of the family's 2925-position model. Lineage: Eukaryota; Metazoa; Chordata; Lepidosauria; Squamata; Gekkonidae. The record is from RNAcentral.
CCUGUUUAUCAAAAACAUCGCCUUUAGCCCCCCAAGUAUUAAAGGUCCCGCCUGCCCAGUGAACAAUUUUUCAACGGCCGCGGUAUCCUAACCGUGCAAAGGUAGCGUAAUCACUUGCCCCUUAAAUAGGGGCCUGUAUGAACGGCUAACUGAGGGCACACCUGUCUCCUGAUGCCAACUAAUGAAACUGAUNUUNUGGUACAAAAGCCAGGAUACACCCACAAGACGAGAAGACCCUGUGGAGCUUACAACCUAAUCACUACUAAUCACCACUUAAUCCUAGUGAGCGGUUUAAGUUGGGGCGACUACGGAGCAUAACAAACCCUCCAAGAAACCAGGCUAACCCCCCCCCUACAAGGCACACGCGCCAACAAGACACCCUAUUUUAUGACCCAGUCCCACUGACCAACGAACCAAGUUACCCCAGGGAUAACAGCGCCAUCCCCCUCCAGAGUCCAUAUCACCAGGGGGGUUUACGACCUCGAUGUUGGAUCAGGACACCCCGGCGGUGCAGCCGCUGCCAAAGGCCCGU